RNAcentral lists this ribosomal RNA (692 nucleotides) under uncultured bacterium. RNAcentral describes it as "bacterial SSU rRNA". It matches the Rfam family "Bacterial small subunit ribosomal RNA", at positions 751 to 1435 of the family's 1533-position model. The record is from RNAcentral.
UAACGGUACAAUGGGUAGCAAACAGGAUUUGAUUACCCUGGUAGUUCACGCCGUAAACGAUGUCUAAAAAGUAGUUGGGGUAUCCUUGAGGACUUAGUGAGAGCAAGCUAACGCAAAAAGUAGACCUCCUGGGGAGUACGGCCGCAAGGUUAAAACUCAAACGAAUAUGACGGGGGCCCGCACAAGCGGUGGAGCAUGUGGUUUAAUUCGAUGCAACGCGAAGAACCUUACCUGGUCUUGACAUACACAGAAUCUUGUAGAGAUACGAGAGUGCCUUCGGGAAUUGUGAUACAGGUGCUGCAUGGCUGUCGUCAGCUCGUGUCGUGAGAUGUUGGGUUAAGUCCCGCAACGAGCGCAACCCUUGUCCUUAGUUACCAGCGGGUUAAGCCGGGAACUCUAAGGAUACUGCCAGUGACAAACUGGAGGAAGGCGGGGACGACGUCAAGUCAUCAUGGCCCUUACGACCAGGGCUACACACGUGCUACAAUGGUAGGUACAGAGGGCAGCUACACAGCGAUGUGAUGCGAAUCUCAAAAAGCCUAUCGUAGUCCAGAUUGGAGUCUGCAACUCGACUCCAUGAAGUAGGAAUCGCUAGUAAUCGCGGAUCAGAAUGCCGCGGUGAAUACGUUCCCGGGCCUUGUACACACCGCCCGUCACACCAUGGGAGUUGAUUGCACCAGAAGUGGUUAGCC